UGAACUUAAGCAUAUCAUAAGCGGAGGAAAAGAAACUAACAAGGAUUCCCCUAGUAACUGCGAGUGAAGCGGGAAAAGCUCAAAUUUAAAAUCUGGCGGUCUUUGGCCGUCCGAGUUGUAGUCUGGAGAAGUGCUUUCCGCGCUGGACCGUGUAUAAGUCUCUUGGAACAGAGCGUCAUAGAGGGUGAGAAUCCCGUCUUUGACACGGACUACCAGUGCUUUGUGAUGCGCUCUCAAAGAGUCGAGUUGUUUGGGAAUGCAGCUCAAAAUGGGUGGUGAAUUCCAUCUAAAGCUAAAUAUUGGCGAGAGACCGAUAGCGAACAAGUACCGUGAGGGAAAGAUGAAAAGCACUUUGGAAAGAGAGUUAAACAGUACGUGAAAUUGCUGAAAGGGAAACGCUUGAAGUCAGUCGCGUUUGCCGGAACUCAGCCUUCCUUUUGGUUGGUGCACUUUCCGGUAGACGGGCCAGCAUCGAUUUCGACCGUCGGAUAAGGGCUGGGGAAAUGUGGCACCUUUCGGGGUGUGUUAUAGUCCUCAGUCGCAUACGUCGGUUGGGAUCGAGGAUCGCAGCGCGCCGCAAGGCAGGGGUUCGCCCACUUUCGCGCUUAGGAUGCUGGCAUAAUGGCUUUAAACGACCCGUCUUGAAACACGGACCAAGGAGUCUAACAAACCUGCGAGUGUUUGGGUGGAAAACCCGAGCGCGUAAUGAAAGUGAAAGUUGAGACCUCUGUCGUGGAGGGCAUCGACGCCCGGACCUGAAGUUCUCUGACGGUUCCGCGGUAGAGCAUGUUUGUUGGGACCCGAAAGAUGGUGAACUAUGCCUGAAUAGGGUGAAGCCAGAGGAAACUCUGGUGGAGGCUCGUAGCGAUUCUGACGUGCAAAUCGAUCGUCAAAUUUGGGUAUAGGGGCGAAAGACUAAUCG
This 922-nucleotide ribosomal RNA is filed under the name Lentinus brumalis. RNAcentral's name for it is "partial large subunit ribosomal RNA". It matches the Rfam family "Eukaryotic large subunit ribosomal RNA", at positions 29 to 937 of the family's 3401-position model. The record is from RNAcentral. Lineage: Eukaryota; Fungi; Basidiomycota; Agaricomycetes; Polyporales; Polyporaceae.